RNAcentral lists this unclassified non-coding RNA (821 nucleotides) under Bombus terrestris (buff-tailed bumblebee). RNAcentral's name for it is "misc RNA ENSBTSG00005036320.1". The record is from RNAcentral. Lineage: Eukaryota; Metazoa; Arthropoda; Insecta; Hymenoptera; Apidae.
ACGGAAGUAGAAACUGGACGAUGGAAAUUGGAAGUACGUGGCAUGGCACAGUGCCUGCACCCACAUGAUUAGAGGAACGAGUGCUCGAGAACGACGCCCGCGGCCGGUGUGAUUUAAUUUCAUCUUGUUCCGCAGAGAUUAAUAGUUGAAGUGUGUUGUUCGAUGAGAGUAUAGGGAUGCACUAUGCGGGUAGCUUCGAGACCGAAAUGAAUCGUGAAAGACAUCGAUAGAAAUAAUUAUUGUGGAAGUGAGCCUAGUUUGGUGGACUUUUAAUAAUACGCGUCGAAGAAUUGGGCUUCUAUACGUGAAAUUGGCCUGGCGGGCAGCAGAAUCGGCGGGCAUAAUCGAGGUUGCCAAACUGACAGGCGACAAGCUCCUGCGGUCGUCGUCUUCGGUUCCAAAUCGACUGGAUGCUAGUUUCGUGGAAUUUUUCAACGUUAUCGCGGAGAACAGGACGACAGGAUCUUCUGAACGUCUUUAUGCCAAGAAUAAAUGCAGGAAAACAAGAUUGCAUACUGACAUGUAAUAAUAUAUAUCUUUAAUAAUCGCCUGAUUUCGGUUUAUGAGGUUUCAGAGAACGAAGGAUCACACUUAAUGUAUGAGAUGUAUUAUAUAUUAUAACAGUAUUAGUAUUAAUAUAACAGUAGAAGUAUUAUUAUAAACGAUGUAUUAUACAAAUAUUAUAGAAUCAGAUACGUAAAAUCGUAUACAAGUUUAAUUAAGAAAGAAAGAUGAAAUAACUAAUACGCGAAAUAAAACUGAACCAAUACCGAUGUACCUAUAUGUAUCUUGUUGCAUAGGAAAACCUUUAAGCGGCGAAU